AUUGAACGCUAGCGGGAUGCCUUACACAUGCAAGUCGAACGGCAGCGCGGACUUCGGUCUGGCGGCGAGUGGCGAACGGGUGAGUAAUGUAUCGGAACGUGCCCAGUAGCGGGGGAUAACUACUCGAAAGAGUAGCUAAUACCGCAUACGCCCUACGGGGGGAAGGGGGGGAUCGCAAGACCUCUCACUAUUGGAGCGGCAGAUAUCGGAUUAGCUAGUUGGGGAGGUAAAGGCUCAGCAAGGCGACGAUCCGUAGCUGGUUUGAGAGGACGACCACGCACAUUGGGACUGAGACACGGCCCAGACUCCUACAGGAGGCAGCAGUGGGGAAUUUUAGACAAUGGGGGAGACCCUGAUCCAGCCAUUCCGGGUGUGGGAUGAAGGCCUUCGGGUUGUAAAGCACUUUUGGCAGGAAAGAAGUCGCACGGAUUAAUACUCUGUGUGGAUGACGGUACCUGCAGAAUAAGCACCGGCUAACUACGUGCCAGCCGCCGCCGUAA
This 500-nucleotide ribosomal RNA is filed under the name uncultured bacterium. RNAcentral's name for it is "partial 16S ribosomal RNA". It matches the Rfam family "Bacterial small subunit ribosomal RNA", at positions 30 to 523 of the family's 1533-position model. The record is from RNAcentral.